RNAcentral lists this long non-coding RNA (208 nucleotides) under Gallus gallus (chicken). The record is from RNAcentral. Lineage: Eukaryota; Metazoa; Chordata; Aves; Galliformes; Phasianidae.
CAAAGGUCUUCUGGUCUGGCAUCGUGUCCGUGGUGAGCUGGGUCUCUGAGUAGCACAGGCUCUGCUCUUUGGACUUGUUUAGCUUCUGUCCGUGCUCCUGGAUGGAGGUGCAGGUGGUGAUGAUGCUCGUGUCGUACAUGGUGUUGCUGUCGUUGAUGUCAUCAGGCAAGGCAGGACUUUUCUCCACCUUGGGCAGCAUUGUGAUGGG